Molecule: ribosomal RNA, 492 nt
Filed under: uncultured bacterium
Lineage: Bacteria
Description: partial 16S ribosomal RNA
Rfam family: Bacterial small subunit ribosomal RNA
Source: RNAcentral
AGUGAACGCUGGCGGUAGGCCUAACACAUGCAAGUCGAACGGCAGCACAGUAAGAGCUUGCUCUUACGGGUGGCGAGUGGCGGACGGGUGAGGAAUACAUCGGAAUCUACUUUUUCGUGGGGGAUAACGUAGGGAAACUUACGCUAAUACCGCAUACGACCUACGGGUGAAAGCAGGGGAUCUUCGGACCUUGCGCGAUUGAAUGAGCCGAUGUCGGAUUAGCUAGUUGGCGGGGUAAAGGCCCACCAAGGCGACGAUCCGUAGCUGGUCUGAGAGGAUGAUCAGCCACACUGGAACUGAGACACGGUCCAGACUCCUACGGGAGGCAGCAGUGGGGAAUAUUGGACAAUGGGCGCAAGCCUGAUCCAGCCAUACCGCGUGGGUGAAGAGGGCCUUCAGGUUGUAAAGCCCUUUUGUUGGGAAAGAAAAGCAGCAGGUUAAUACCCCGCUGUUCUGACGGUACCCAAAGAAUAAGCACCGGCUAACUUCGUG